This is a long non-coding RNA of Perca fluviatilis (European perch), 1508 nucleotides long. RefSeq lists it as uncharacterized. The record is from RefSeq and is a predicted model, not a curated record. The transcript has 3 exons. Lineage: Eukaryota; Metazoa; Chordata; Actinopteri; Perciformes; Percidae.
AGUACAGCCAUGGAAGCAGCAAACAAACCAACGGCAUCAACGGAGAUAGAUUCUACCCGACCUAAAAAAAACCUUGGCAUGAUUCUAACAGUUGCAUGACCAGAGACGUUACAAAACCAGGGUGAAUAUUGGAGAUCAGAAAGAUGGAGACAGCCUCGCCGCAGCCGACAACGGAACACAACUUAAAGGUGCAGUCUGUGAGGUGACCAAUUGGAGUCAGAAAGACUCUGGCCACUGGGGCCAGAACAGGUCCAACACCUUCAUGGUGAUCCCGACGUGAUGGUCAGAACCAGAACCCGAACCUGAAGCCGAACCAGAACUUUUUGGCGGACUUCAGAAAACUCAGACUCUACUCUCCAGAACCAACGGUGCACCGAGAAAAAGGUCCAGGAGAGAGCUGAGGCACCUGCCCCAAAGAAACCCAGAGAUCCCAUCAAAGUAGGAGAGUGGGUGUGGCUACGAGUCCUAAAACGGAAGUGGAUCGAGCCCAGGUGGACCGGACCACACCAGGUUAUCAGCAACCACCUCACACUCGGUCAGGUUGGUCAAGAAAGGUACCAACUGGUAUCACCAGACAUUAUGCCCCCGAGCCUCUGAUCCACAAGGUGCAAGACCUUUGGACGAGGUAAGAGCUGAUCUGCAAUAUGUGGCAGCCUCAGAACCCAGUGAUGAGGGAAUUUCACAUCCCAAGGACUAAAUUGGUAGUGACUGUAAUAACCAUAAUAGUGCUAGGCUCAUUGGGUUACAUGUGGUGGGAGACACAGGAGGCAAAAACUGGCUCCCCUAUCACUAUAAUCUGUGCAGAAAUAGGCAAGACUACUUCAGUCUCGGUAGAUAUGUGCAGCAUAUUAGCCUGUGUAAGCCAUAACCAGUAUACUUGUCUCCAGUACCGCAAGAGGACAGCAUAUGUAUGCACUGACCCCUGUAGUUCCUGGAGCCAUGUAUUUGCAAACUUUGGUGAGGAUUGGGGUUAUAACCCACCCAAAGCUACCCAGGGUGGUCUGAAGGGCCGACUCUCAAUCACCCGCCAGCAACAUCAUGGCCACCAAUGUGCGCCAAUAAUAAUCACUCUAAGAAACGCUCAAGCCUCAGAUGAUGGGGAAUACUGGCUCGGUGUGGAGGUUAUCAAUGCUGAUCCACUGGGAAAAUUCAGGAUACAGACUUUUGUUAGACCAACACCUGCACCUACCGUCCCGGCUAAUAUAACAAUGACACCUGCCAGUGAGUAUCAUUGCAUCCCAAAACAUGGAUGAGGUUGUUAAAGAAUUCAGUACCCAUCAUCACAACUACUGGAGGAAGCGUGCUACUGCAAACAAACCCAAGUUCGACUCCAUCAACAACCCAUUUGGUUCGUAAAGAGCUAGCUGAAAACUCUGGUGUAGAGCCAAACCCUAUAACUGACUGGGUCCAUGGUAUGUUUGGCAAGUGGAAAGUUAUGAUCAUGUCCACGUUGGUCUCCAUAGCUGUGUUCACGGGCAUUCUGGUGUGCUGUGGUUUUUGUGCUAUUC